GAGACACCGUGGUGAAGAGGAAGCCUGCUUCUCUGAUGGCCCCUCUGAAGCGGAAGGAGGAGUUCUCCUUGUUCAAGGUGUCUGAUGAUGAAUAUAAAGUAAAAAUCUCGCCUCAGCUGCUCUUGGCCACCCAGCGCUUCCUGUCCCGAGAAGUGGAUGUAUUCAGCCCGCUGCGCAUCUCUGAGAAGGUCCUGCUGCACCUGUUGAAGCAUCCCAGUGUCAACCAGGAAGUGAGGUUUGACGAGAGCAACCGGCUGGCCACACACCACUACCUGUACCAGCGCAGCCAGCCGGUGGAUUACUUCAUUCUCAUCCUGCAGGUAGCUGUGGGUCCCAGGCCUGGAGUCCCUCCUGCUUCCUCAGGCCAGGGAAGGGUCUAGGAGAAGAGGGGAGCAGGGGC
Molecule: small RNA, 400 nt
Filed under: Pan troglodytes (chimpanzee)
Lineage: Eukaryota; Metazoa; Chordata; Mammalia; Primates; Hominidae
Description: retained intron
Source: RNAcentral